This 253-nucleotide ribosomal RNA is filed under the name uncultured bacterium. RNAcentral's name for it is "partial 16S ribosomal RNA". It matches the Rfam family "Bacterial small subunit ribosomal RNA", at positions 524 to 776 of the family's 1533-position model. The record is from RNAcentral.
UACGAAGGGUGCAAGCGUUACUCGGAAUUACUGGGCGUAAAGCGUGCGUAGGUGGUUUGUUAAGUCUGAUGUGAAAGCCCUGGGCUCAACCUGGGAAUUGCAUUGGAUACUGGCAGGCUAGAGUGCGGUAGAGGGUAGUGGAAUUCCCGGUGUAGCAGUGAAAUGCGUAGAGAUGAGGAGGAACACCAGUGGCGAAGGCGGCCACCUGGACAGUAACUGACGCUGAGGCGCGAAAGCGUGGGUAGCAAACAGG